GCCCUCAACAUGGCCAAAACUGGAUGCUGACAACACCAAGUGUUGACAGGACAGUGGAGGGACUAGAACUCUCUCAUCCGCCGCUGCUGGGUGUGAAACAGUUUGCCACAGGCCUUCGGUCUCAUGAAGUCGUGCGCUUCGCACACAGCCUAGCGACCCCACUCCCGGACGUUUACCCGAGAGGAACGAACACAUAACGUCUGCGCAAAGACAGAUCUGUUGGCAAACGUUCGCGGCGGCUUCGCUGUGACCUCCAAACCGCUGGAAACACCCCAAACGUCCACCAGCAGGGGGGCACAGAUGAACAAGCCGAGGGAAGGUGAUGCCAACCCCGGUGUGAAGGCGGCGGUGUGAGCAGUGGGAUUCCGAUUUCAGCUCUGAGGCAGAGUCCACAGGCCGUGCAGGCGCCCCUUGCAAGCCCCUGUUCGCCCCCAGUGGAGUAGACAUCCUAGACCGGCACGGGACAACGGAUACGACGAAGCCACAGAUAAGGGCACAUGGGUAACUUAAAAUUCCCCAGCAUCCACGUUUUCAAAAGUGGAAAAUAAAUAGAUGCAAUUAAUUGUAA
Molecule: long non-coding RNA, 568 nt
Organism: Neofelis nebulosa (Clouded leopard)
Lineage: Eukaryota; Metazoa; Chordata; Mammalia; Carnivora; Felidae
Exons: 3
Source: RefSeq, a predicted model, not a curated record